AAACUAGCUUAAAUUUUUAAUUCCUUAAAUAAUCAUAAGUAGCUCAAUUAUUCAAACACUCA
This 62-nucleotide transfer RNA is filed under the name Prymnesium parvum. The record is from RNAcentral. Lineage: Eukaryota; Haptophyta; Prymnesiales; Prymnesiaceae.